AGCAUUCUCUGGUGUUGAAGGCCCUGCAAAGCAGCAUCGCGGUGGCGGAGCGUCGUUUGCGACGCCCAACACACAAAACAAGCGGUGAGUGCUUUGGGGUGGGGUGACUGCGUACCUUUUGUAUAAUGGGUCAGCGACUUAUAUUCUGUAGCAAGGUUAACCGAAUAGGGGAGCCGGAGGGAAACCGAGUCUUAAUUGGGCGUUAAGUUGCAGGGUAUAGACCCGAAACCCGGUGAUCUAGCCAUGGGCAGGUUGAAGGUUGGGUAACACUAACUGGAGGACCGAACCGACUAAUGUUGAAAAAUUAGCGGAUGACCUGUGGCUGGGGGUGAAAGGCCAAUCAAACCGGGAGAUAGCUGGUUCUCCCCGAAAGCUAUUUAGGUAGCGCCUCGUGAAUUCAUCUCCGGGGGUAGAGCACUGUUUCGGCUAGGGGGCCAUCCCGGCUUACCAACCCGAUGCAAACUGCGAAUACCGGAGAAUGUUAUCACGGGAGACACACGGCGGGUGCUAACGUCCGUCGUGAAGAGGGAAACAACCCAGACCGCCAGCUAAGGUCCCAAAGUCAUGGUUAAGUGGGAAACGAUGUGGGAAGGCCCAGACAGCCAGGAUGUUGGCUUAGAAGCAGCCAUCAUUUAAAGAAAGCGUAAUAGCUCACUGGUCGAGUCGGCCUGCGCGGAAGAUGUAACGGGGCUAAACCAUGCACCGAAGCUGCGGCAG
RNAcentral lists this ribosomal RNA (717 nucleotides) under Salmonella enterica. RNAcentral's name for it is "partial 23S ribosomal RNA". The stretch from base 78 to 717 matches the Rfam family "Bacterial large subunit ribosomal RNA", at positions 566 to 1208 of the family's 2925-position model. Lineage: Bacteria; Pseudomonadati; Pseudomonadota; Gammaproteobacteria; Enterobacterales; Enterobacteriaceae. The record is from RNAcentral.